GGUUAAGCGACUAAGCGUACACGGUGGAUGCCCUGGCAGUCAGAGGCGAUGAAGGGCGUGCUAAUCUGCGAUAAGCGCCGGUAAGGUGAUAUGAACCGUUAUAACCGGCGAUACCCGAAUGGGGAAACCCAGUGUGAUUCGUCACACUAUCAUUAACUGAAUCCAUAGGUUAAUGAGGCGAACCGGGGGAACUGAAACAUCUAAGUACCCCGAGGAAAAGAAAUCAACCGAGAUUCCCCCAGUAGCGGCGAGCGAACGGGGAGGAGCCCAGAGCCUGAAUCAGCAUGUGUGUUAGUGGAAGCGUCUGGAAAGGCGCGCGAUACAGGGUGACAGCCCCGUACACAAAAGCGCAUGUGCUGUGAGCUCGAUGAGUAGGGCGGGACACGUGGUAUCCUGUCUGAAUAUGGGGGGACCAUCCUCCAAGGCUAAAUACUCCUGACUGACCGAUAGUGAACCAGUACCGUGAGGGAAAGGCGAAAAGAACCCCGGCGAGGGGAGUGAAAAAGAACCUGAAACCGUGUACGUACAAGCAGUGGGAGCACCCUUUGGGUGUGACUGCGUACCUUUUGUAUAAUGGGUCAGCGACUUAUAUUCUGUAGCAAGGUUAACCGAAUAGGGGAGCCGGAGGGAAACCGAGUCUUAACCGGGCGUUAAGUUGCAGGGUAUAGACCCGAAACCCGGUGAUCUAGCCAUGGGCAGGUUGA
RNAcentral lists this ribosomal RNA (704 nucleotides) under Salmonella enterica. RNAcentral describes it as "partial 23S ribosomal RNA". It matches the Rfam family "Bacterial large subunit ribosomal RNA", at positions 1 to 748 of the family's 2925-position model. The record is from RNAcentral. RNAcentral also lists the same sequence under 1 other name. Lineage: Bacteria; Pseudomonadati; Pseudomonadota; Gammaproteobacteria; Enterobacterales; Enterobacteriaceae.